UGCAUUCGUAUCGAGCGAUGCAACGGUGU
RNAcentral lists this small RNA (29 nucleotides) under Bombyx mori (domestic silkworm). RNAcentral's name for it is "ovarian small RNA-33620". Lineage: Eukaryota; Metazoa; Arthropoda; Insecta; Lepidoptera; Bombycidae. The record is from RNAcentral.